CCAAAAAAAGAGGCGCGGCGUACAGCUCAGUAACACGUGGCUAAUCUGCCCUUGGGACCGGAACACCCCCGGGGAAACUGGGGCUAAUUCUCCAUAGGUGAAGAACUCUGGAAUGAGUCUUUGCCAAAAAGACCCUUACGUUACGCUCGUAAGUGUCGCCCAAGGAUGAGGCCGCGACCGAUCAGGUUGUUGGUGAGGUAAUGGCUCACCAAGCCUUUUACCGGUGCGGGCCGUGAGAGCGGGAGCCCGGAGAUGGGCACUGAGACAAGGGCCCAGGCCCUACGGGGCGCAGCAGUCGCGAAAACUUUGCAAUAAGCGAAAGCUUGACAGGGCUAUCCCGAGUGCCAUCCGCUGAGGAAGGCUUUUACCCAGUCUAGAACGCUGGGGGAAUAAGGAGAGGGCAAGUCUGGUGUCAGCCGCCGCGGUAAUACCAGCUCUCCGAGUGGUGUGGAUGUUUAUUGGGCCUAAAGCAUCCGUAGCUGGCUAAGUUAGUCCCUUGUUAAAUCCACCGAAUUAAUCGUUGGAUAGCGGGGGAUACUGCUUGGCUAGGGGACGAGAGAGGCAGACGGUAUUUCCGGGGUAGGGGUGAAAUCCUAUAAUCCCGGGAAGACCACCAGUGGCGAAGGCUGUCUGCUAGAACGCGCCCGACGGUGAGGGAUGAAAGCUGGGGGAGCGAACCGGAUUAGAUACCCGGGUAGUCCCAGCUGUAAACGAUGCAGGCUAGGUGUUUGGACGGCCACGUGCCGUUCUAGUGCCGCAGGGAAGCUGUUAAGCCUGCCGCCUGGGGAGUACGAUCGCAAGAUUGAAACUUAAAGGAAUUGGCGGGGGAGCAC
RNAcentral lists this ribosomal RNA (833 nucleotides) under uncultured crenarchaeote. RNAcentral's name for it is "bacterial SSU rRNA". It matches the Rfam family "Archaeal small subunit ribosomal RNA", at positions 67 to 879 of the family's 1478-position model. The record is from RNAcentral. Lineage: Archaea; Thermoproteati; Thermoproteota.